GGGUCUUGUGUUACUUCUCUCCUGAUUCUUCCUGUGAAGUGAUCUGCCACAUGUGAUAUUAAUAAUAUAGAUUAAAUUUUAAAAGGUACUGUGCCCGAAGCUACUUAUUAGGUUGGUGCAAAAGUAAUGACAUUUUUAAAAACCUCAAUUACUUUUACACCAAACUAAUAAAUGUAAAUAGCAUGAAAAUGAGAAAAAUUCUUCCAGUUUUUGAAAACUAUCUUCUGAUUGAACAAAAAAGUAACUCAUGUCAUUGAUAAACAAGUGAAAUUUCAAUAUACAUCUGUCUUGUUUCACUUUUGUCUUACUCAUUAAUUUAAAAAAAUCAGACAAUACUCAUGUUGGAAUGACAGUUGGAAAGCCAGUUGUUAAACAUUUUCAUCAGCACACCACUCUACCUAGAGUUAAUAGAUGUAUUGCUCCAAAGGUGAACUUGUCUUAACAAAGAAAUGCUAGUGAUGGACUGGAUUUGAAGAAUUCUUCUCUUUCUUACCCCAGACACAAUUAAAUGUUAAGAGAAAAAAAGACAACUAAAUAAAACACUGCAUGUGAGUAACAUGAGGCUUCUUUCCAAUUUUGACACUUCCUUGCUUACAAUUUUUUGCUUAUAAAACAAUCCUACAAUAUCCAGACCAUGGGAACACUGGAAAUAAGAAUAUAUCUGCAUUUCUUAUUGAAAGUUACAAUAACAUUUUGGCAGCACCAUAUGUGAUUUUUCUGUUUUGUACUACAACAGUUUGAACCUAGCACCAUAGUAACAAAUUGUAGAUGCUCAACAAAAUAUUUUAAAAUGGGUG
Molecule: long non-coding RNA, 797 nt
Filed under: Homo sapiens (human)
Lineage: Eukaryota; Metazoa; Chordata; Mammalia; Primates; Hominidae
Description: non-protein coding lnc-REG3G-11:1
Source: RNAcentral